UGCGGGGAGCCGGGGGGCACGGCGGGGCUGGGCCGCCCGCGGGAGCCUUGGAAAAGCUCCUGGGAAGUUUUGGGCUUCGUGCCGCGAGUGGGGCGUCCCCAGGGCAAGGCUGCCGCAGGAGCGGGAGGGUUCGCCUCCGCUCCGGGAUCCCCGUUUCCUCGCCGCGGCAGGUUUUCCCUGCGGUUAUCCGCUGUCAUUUGGAAGUUGCUUCCUUGUGACGCCACGUGCGGCGCUUCCCCCGUGCGGUGCGGGGCGGGGGCGGGAAGAAAACUCCCGUGAAAUGUGCGGCUGCCUCGCUGACAGUUUUGUAUUCUGUUAUAAUUAAGAAGUAUAUUGCAAGCAAAGCAAGGAAAAAAGCAGAGAGGCUGCUCAGUUUAAAAACUCGAAAUUACCCUGCUCGGAACUGUGUAUUUUGUUACCAAGUGUUUUGGAAUAUCCAGCUGGGGAGUCACUGUCAGCUCCUGGGUGUAAGUGCCUGCUGUGAAUCAGGACUGUAGCAGGUGUUCUUCUGGGAUGAUGUGUGACCCUGAUACCUCCCACCAAGCUUGUGCCUGGCCAGCAGCUUUAAAUCUGAGAGCUGUUGCUGACCCUCCUCUUGGAAGGGCAGAGACAGGUAACUGAGCCCUACAGUGAUGGAUUUGGGAGUUCUAUAAUACAUACGGUAAAGUUGAACUUAUGUUUAUUAAUUUUUAUUUCUAAGAUUUUAGUUUCUUAAAAGUCAGCCACAUGAAGUGAACAGCCCCUGUACUGGCUUUGCCAGACUUGUUAGAAGGAGGGCAAAAUGUGAGGAAAAAGUUACCUUUCAUUUUAGAAAGGCUAAUGUCUAGUGGUUAAUAGAUCAUUGGAAGCUGGGGUAUCUGGAUUAGAUUCACAGCUGUGUUUUUGGCUCUCUGACUAGAGCAAGUCACUUAAUUUUUCAUACUUGCAUUUACUUAUCUGUGAAAUGAAUAAUGUAGCAUCUGUUUUCUGGAGAUGUUGCACUUCAUUCAUUGCAGGCUGUAUCGAUCACUGUGAUCUUUCAGUGGAAAAUGGUGUACAAGCAAUAUUAACAAA
Taeniopygia guttata (zebra finch) is the source of this 1053-nucleotide non-coding RNA. The record is from RefSeq and is a predicted model, not a curated record. Lineage: Eukaryota; Metazoa; Chordata; Aves; Passeriformes; Estrildidae.